This 211-nucleotide long non-coding RNA is filed under the name Capsicum annuum. RNAcentral's name for it is "long non-coding RNA (CANN_LNC011723)". Lineage: Eukaryota; Viridiplantae; Streptophyta; Magnoliopsida; Solanales; Solanaceae. The record is from RNAcentral.
ACAUUUGAAAUAUGUUACAAUCUUCAAUUAGCAUAGCAAGCCAAAACAAAGCAACUGACAAGCAAACUUAACCAAAUCCCUAAUUGCAAAAAUCUCACUUCACCAAAUACUUUAUCUUUACACAAAAUAAUCUCAUUAGACAUUUUGUAAUGAAAUGAAAACUAGAAUACACACAUAUUAUAGACCCAAGCUGCCUUAACAUUCAUGCAAC